CAGUCGCCGCGGGAAUACGAAGGGGGCUAGCGUUGUUCGGAUUUACUGGGCGUAAAGCGCACGUAGGCGGACUUUUAAGUCAGGGGUGAAAUCCCGGGGCUCAACCCCGGAACUGCCUUUGAUACUGGAAGUCUUGAGUAUGGUAGAGGUGAGUGGAAUUCCGAGUGUAGAGGUGAAAUUCGUAGAUAUUCGGAGGAACACCAGUGACGAAGGCGGCUCACUGGACCAUUACUGACGCUGAGGUGCGAAAGCGUGGGGAGCAAACAGGAUUAGAUACCCCGGUAGUCCCUGUCUCUUAUAU
RNAcentral lists this ribosomal RNA (301 nucleotides) under uncultured bacterium. RNAcentral's name for it is "partial 16S ribosomal RNA". It matches the Rfam family "Bacterial small subunit ribosomal RNA", at positions 509 to 809 of the family's 1533-position model. The record is from RNAcentral.